This 2736-nucleotide long non-coding RNA is filed under the name Papio anubis (olive baboon). Its description in RNAcentral is "lncRNA (ENSPANG00000049862.1)". The stretch from base 306 to 581 matches the Rfam family "SOX2 overlapping transcript exon 3". Lineage: Eukaryota; Metazoa; Chordata; Mammalia; Primates; Cercopithecidae. The record is from RNAcentral.
AUUGUAUUUAAAAGAACCAUCUGUAGCAGAAACAAUGGCAUCAAAUUAUCUUUGAAUACCCACUGAAAAAAACAUAAAGCUUUUUUUUUUAUUCUUCUUCUGUACGGUGGGGGGAUAGAGCAGUGUUAGGAUAACUGACUUUUUUGUUGUUCUCUGGGUGCAUUCUUCUCGCUCCCCCUCUCUCCCCCUCACCCUCUCUCUCUUCUCUCUCUCCCUCUCCCUCUCUCUCUCUCUCUCUCUUUUAAAAAAUCAGCCAUUUGGGGUUUUAAGCCAUAAACGAUUUUUCUUGUUGCAGGGGAUUGCAGUGGCAAAGCUAGGCUAGGUCUUGGAAGCUGGUGUAAGGCGAUGCGGGUGAAGGCAGGAGGCUGAUGGAAAGACUGGGGGGAAGAAAAGCCGAAAUGGAUUCACGGUGCCUUGGAUGAAGGACGAGAGGGGAACUGCAAGCUCCUUCAACUGGUUCUGUCCGGUGAGAAGUGAUCAAGCUUGGGCUGACAAGAGGCUCAGGGAACCCUCACGUUCUUUCGCUUUUUUACCUGCCAAUCAAACUGCUACAAGACAACACCCUGAUCUGGCAUGGACAUAUCCAACUUAGAAAUAAUGUUUCAUUCAAGAUAAGGCUCGUGGUUUAGGAGAUUGUGACCUGGCUUGCAUCAUUCUAAGACUUCUAUCAUCGGUUUUCAAAACCCAAGGAGGACCUCAUUCUCUGUGUGAUAGUUCCUCAUGCUUUGCCAGCCACUGGGUCUUUAAGGAAGCUUGCCAAGAGUUCCCAGCUGGGAAGGACAGUUCGAGUUCAUCAUAGACAGUGAGCUGGCACCACAGUUUAAGUGACUCACCAACCUGGUUGUCCACUUCAAAAUGUCAAGAACCACACUAUCUAAUUGAAAGAACUGUGUUUUAGCAAAGUGUAAUUGGAUCGCAUGGCAAGAUCAUCUCAAACUAUGUCUCUGACCUUGCCUUUCAGUGGCUGUUUGGAGCACAAGAGGAGAAAGGAAAUGAUUCCUGAAUUACAUAUUGCUUUUAAAAAUUAAGAUUAAUUAGUGGCCGGGCGCGGUGGCUCAAGCCUGUAAUCCCAGCACUUUGGGAGGCCGCGACGGGUGGAUCACGAGGUCAGGAGAUCAAGACCAUCCUGGCUAACACGGUGAAACCCCGUCUCUACUAAAAAACACAAAAAACUAGUCAAGGAGGUGGGCGUGGCUUCAGUCCCAGCUACCGAGGCUGAGGCAGGAGAAUGGCGUGAAACCCGGGAGGCGGAGCUUGCAGUGAGCUGAGAUCUGGCCACUGCACUCCAGCCUGGGUGACAGAGCAAGACUCCAUCUCAAAAAAAAAAAAAAACAAAUUAAGAUUAAUUAAUAAAUACUUGGUUUAUGUUCAUUCCAUUGUAGAACUUAAUGAUUUAUUACAAAACAGUCAAAAUAGGGUCAUAGCAAAAUGAACAUUUAAGAUUAGGUUAAAACAUUAUAACACGUAACUGUUCUAGCAAUAACAANNNNNNNNNNNNNNNNNNNNNNNNNNNNNNNNNNNNNNNNNNNNNNNNNNNNNNNNNNNNNNNNNNNNNNNNNNNNNNNNNNNNNNNNNNNNNNNNNNNNNNAAAAAAAAAAAAAACAAAUUAAGAUUAAUUAAUAAAUACUUGGUUUUAUGUUCAUUCCAUUGUAGGAACUUAAUGAUUUAUUACAAAACAGUCAAAAUAGGUCAUAGCAAAAUGAACAUUUAAGAUUAGGUUAAAACAUUCCUCUGAAAUUUUAGUAUUCACUUUUGAAGUGUCAAUUACUAUAUUAUAUGAAAAAUGAUAUUUGAAUCAAAGACAUUGUUUUUUCAUAUAGCCACUCCUUUCUAAAAUGCAAAUCCGCCGGGCGCGGUGGCUCAAGCCUGUAAUCCCAGCACUUUGGGAGGCUGAGACGGGCGGAUCACAAGGUCAGGAGAUCGAGACCAUCCUGGCUAACACGGUGAAACCCCGUCUCUACUAAAAAAUACAAAAAACUAGCCGGGCGAGGUGGCGGGCGCCUGUGGUCCUAGCUACUCCGGAGGCUGAGACAGGAGAAUGGCGUAAACCCGGGAGGCGGAGCUUGCAGUGAGCUGAGAUCCGGCCACUGCACUCCAGCCUGGGGGACAGAGCCAGACUCAGUCUCAAAAAAAAAAAAAAAAUAAAUUAAAAAAAAAAUAAAAUAAAAUGCAAAUCCACCCUCCCCUCACCCGUGCUUUAUUAUUUAUACAUACACACACCCACAGACACACACAGAGCCAGCACCCAAACAGUAGAGGAGGUCCUUUCAAGACUUCUAGGACCUGGAUCAUGUAAGUAGUAGAUGAGAAAAUGAAGUAAGAGGUAUAGAGCAAUAACAAUAAAAGUCAAUGAUUUCAUUUUACAAAAAGUCAUUGUGUAGUACUCAGAUAUUUUUAAAAGCAAGUAUUAUUAUGACUCAAGUAUAUCAUACUUCUAAAUUAUUAUGAUUCUCAUCUAAUUUCAAGCCACAUAUAGGAGCCAUUUGAAAGCAUUUUGUAUUACAACCUAUCAACAAAAAUCAGCUAAUAGUUUUAUAAUGUGCAUAAAUUUACCCCAUGGGGAAUUAAAAUUUUUAUCUGCAAGUAUUUCUAUUGUUGUGAGACUUUAGGACAAGACAACAUUUGGUAUUAACAUAGAAGAAUAGGCCGGGCGCGGUGGCUCAAGCCUGUAAUCCCAGCACUUUGGGAGGCCGAGACGGGCGGAUCACAAGGUCAGAAGAUCGAGACCAUCCUGGC